UACCUGCAGCCCGAGUGGUGCUCGUUAUUAUUGGGUCUAAAUCGUCCGUAGUCGGCUGAGUAGAUGCCCGGGUAAAUCGAAGCGCUCAACGUUUCGAAUUCCGGGUAGACCGCUCGGCUAGGGAUUGGGAGAGGUGCAAGGUACUCUGAGGGUAGGGGUAAAAUCCUGUAAUCCUUGGGGGACCACCAGUGGCGAAGGCGUUGCACUAGAACAAGUCCGACGAUCAGGGACGAAGCCCUGGGGCGCAAACGGG
Molecule: ribosomal RNA, 253 nt
Filed under: uncultured bacterium
Lineage: Bacteria
Description: partial 16S ribosomal RNA
Rfam family: Archaeal small subunit ribosomal RNA
Source: RNAcentral